RNAcentral lists this ribosomal RNA (440 nucleotides) under uncultured bacterium. RNAcentral describes it as "partial 16S ribosomal RNA". It matches the Rfam family "Bacterial small subunit ribosomal RNA", at positions 338 to 795 of the family's 1533-position model. The record is from RNAcentral.
CCUACGGGAGGCAGCAGUGGGGAAUAUUGCGCAAUGGGGGCAACCCUGACGCAGCAACGCCGCGUGAUUGAAGAAGGCCUUCGGGUUGUAAAGAUCUUUAAUCGGGGACGAAUUUUGACGGUACCCGAAGAAUAAGCUCCGGCUAACUACGUGCCAGCAGCCGCGGUAAUACGUAGGGAGCAAGCGUUAUCCGGAUUUAUUGGGUUUAAAGGGUGCGUAGGCGGACUGUUAAGUCAGCGGUAAAAGCCCGGGGCUCAACCCCGGCGAGCCGUUGAAACUGGCUGUCUUGAGAUGUCGAGAGGUAUGCGGAAUGCGCAGUGUAGCGGUGAAAUGCUUAGAUAUUGCGCAGAACUCCGAUUGCGAAGGCAGCAUACCGGCGGCGAUCUGACGCUGAGGCACGAAAGCGUGGGUAUCGAACAGGAUUAGAUACCCCUGUAGUC